Molecule: long non-coding RNA, 600 nt
Filed under: Olea europaea (common olive)
Lineage: Eukaryota; Viridiplantae; Streptophyta; Magnoliopsida; Lamiales; Oleaceae
Description: long non-coding RNA (OEUR_LNC001860)
Source: RNAcentral
AUACACCAGCCUGGAUAACAAGGUUGUAAAUUGAGCAGUGUUUUGCCCUAAUACUGAGAGAUGCGUGCAAGGUUGUAAAUUGAGCAGUGUUUUGCCCUAAUACUGAGAGAUGCGUGGAUGAUAUUUAUACAUUAUCCUAUAAAAUCUAAUACACAUAGAUGCUUUAGUUGAGCAAGACGAAAAGGUAUACAAAUUAAAUGGUUAGACUACAUCAGGCUUUAACAAGGCAAGAAUAUACAUCUUAUUGACUACUAAUUAAUGAAAGCAUGGAAUAUUUUCUUAGGUGACAAACCCCUUUUUGGCGAAGACAUAACAAAGCUAGGUAUCUGGCAGUAAAUUCAGAGUCGGGUUCAUAAAAAUCGUGCUGCAUCCAUUUGCUAUGUUCAUUACUUCACGUAGUAGGAGAUUAUCUCCAAGAGAUUUCUUAAAAAUAAAAUACUCUCUAUUUUAAAGAGUCAAUUUUUAAAAUAAUGCUUCAAGAGACUUUUCAAAUUAACAUUUUAAAAUAGAGAUUGAGUUUGGCUCCGACCCUCCAAAUUUGAAGAGUCAAACCCACUCUCUGUAAUUAAAUGCAUUCUAAAUAUUUCAAUUUUCAAUGCU